Molecule: long non-coding RNA, 1209 nt
Filed under: Manacus vitellinus (golden-collared manakin)
Lineage: Eukaryota; Metazoa; Chordata; Aves; Passeriformes; Pipridae
Description: lncRNA (ENSMVIG00005019212.1)
Source: RNAcentral
UUGUGUGUGUAUAUAUAUAUAUAUAUAUAUUUAUAUUUCUUCACUUAGCUUACACUGAUGCAAAAAAACCAACUCAUUUCAGUGCCUUGCAAAAAAAAAUGCACGAGAUAUUAAAUAGAACUGGGUCAAACAAGCAUUGCAGAGGCUGCGGGUCCCCCACGACCCGCCUCGUGAGAAGCAAGAAUUCCACCCGCUGCUUCCACGUGCCACAGAAAUUACUCACAAGUGUGGGUUUUAUGAAGCAUCUCGCAUCCCAGGCUUGUUUUUCCUGGUGCUGUGACUCUAUGAUUCACCUGAUUUAAGUCUCUUGCUAAGUGCUUGACCCGCCCUGAGCAUCCUUUUGGCUGCAUUUUAACUUCCUCUAGGUCAAGGUGCUGGAGUAUGAGUGUGACUUGUCACCUGUAGCAUCCAAAAUAGCCUUUUCUCAGGCUGUAACACCCCAUUUUGGGGGUAUUUUGGGCAUUCAGCAGCACUUUUUGCCUUUGGCAGGCUGAGAAAGACCGACCGGCGCUUCAGCCUUGCCGAGGGGGGGAAUAAAAAAUGACUUUAUUUUGGUGUGUUGCUGCAGGAGGGUUUUGCAGCAUGCAAAGGUGUGGGAAUAUGUACAUGGGGAAGGGGUUUCUUUUAGGAUUAAAGGGUUAAAAUUGCAACCUGGCAGCUUGUUGCUUGAAAACCCCAUAUCUGCCCCUAUCCGGGGGGAUAGAGGUGCUUGGGUGCCCCAGGGAAAGGGGUGGCAGCGGGACUGAGGGGGUUAAAUAAAACCCUGCUCAUUAGCAAAGGGCAUUUUUGGAGAUGCUCUUGCAAGGAUGCCAAGGAGAGGUCCCCUCUGCCUGGUCCCUCUCGGGGUGGCCCCGAGGAGGAGGAGGUGGUGAAGGCCAUGUUUUUUGGGGUACAUCCAGCUGUCCUGCCUCACUGGGGAUGUGUUUGGAGCGGAGAAGGAAAUUUUCAUCCAGUUGCCUAAACCAGAGACAACCCCAAGGAAGCGAUGGGGGUAAACCUCAAGGGGGUGAUGGAGGUGAACCCCAAGGGGGUGAUGGAGGUGAACCCCAAGGGGGUGAUGGAGUGAACCCCAAGGAGCUGAUGGAGGUGAACCCCAAGGAGCUGAUGGAGUGAACCCCAAGGAGCUGAUGGAGUGAACCCCAAGGAGGUGAGGGGAGCGCCGGCGCCCGUGCGCCCCAAGGGCUCUUCACCGACGACGACCGCAAGCAA